CACCAAUCAUUUUUUUUAAUAUUUCUAUUGCAAGUGUUUUUGACGCAUUACACCUUAUCAUUAAUGUAACCACAAAUUUAUCAUAAUACUUUUUAAUUACAAUUAUUUAUUGCCUGUUUGGAGCCAGCCCUAUGGGUCUAGACUAGAGUAUUGCAUUAAUUAGAUAAAAAACAAAACAACAAGCAUUAAAAAGUACAAAUGAUGGAACGGAUUUAGACAAUUUCUUGAACGAUAUGGCUUUAUAGGUGCUCAGAUAAAUCCACCCAAAUGAUUUAUUUCAGGCAUGUGAAAACACAGAAUAUAAAUGAUCUCCAUAAUUUAAUUUAAUUUGAUCCCCGAGGCAUAUGUCUAUCAUUUCCCCUCAUUAUCACAGAAUCCAUAACGUGAAAUCUUUGUUUACCUACUUGAUGACCCAAUUCAACUAAAUACGCCAGCAUAUUCAACAUUUUUAACAUCAAUAUUUGAUUUGCGCUGGUUGAUGCUUUCCC
Pelobates cultripes (western spadefoot toad) is the source of this 488-nucleotide non-coding RNA. The record is from the annotation of a GenBank genome assembly. NCBI's taxonomy places the organism in Eukaryota, Metazoa, Chordata, Amphibia, Anura, Pelobatidae.